This is a long non-coding RNA of Biomphalaria glabrata, 1059 nucleotides long. RefSeq lists it as uncharacterized. Lineage: Eukaryota; Metazoa; Mollusca; Gastropoda; Planorbidae. The record is from RefSeq and is a predicted model, not a curated record. The transcript has 2 exons.
UUGGCUGUAAGACAUCAAUCUAUUUCAAAUAUUUACAAAUUCAGUCAUUGAAAUAAUACACAUAGACUAUUUUUAAAAUUGUUAAAAAGAAAUAAGACAAAUAGAUCUAUGUUUCUUAAAGUUAACAUUCAUCAGUAGAAGAUGCGCGAUGUAGCUCUAGAUAGUAACUAGACCAGGUUGACAGUAAGACAGGCAUUGAGUCGCAAAGCAGCGACGAACAAGUUUUGCAGGCAGCUUAUACUAAACUAACAGAAGACAUACAAAAAUAAAUCGAUGUUAACGAUGAAGAACCUGGCAACAAAUGUAAUGUCUCCACCAAAUAGGAUACAACCGAGAUGUCGGAAAUGUUUGACACUCCUGCGAUAUCAGGUGUAGGUCCGAAAUGAACAGCAAGACCAAAAGUUGCAUAAGUAGCGUAGCCGACUGGAGAGAAGUGAUACAGGAAUCCCACAGCGGUAAUGCUGUUUAAAAACAAGCAAAAUAUUUUUAAAAAUCAUAAAAAACAAAACAAAGAUUAUAUAAAGGGAAAUAACUCUGUCCUUAAAACUAUAUCUACCAAUAAUGUAAAAGUUAUUUCCUUUAUUCGAUAUCCUGUCCUUAAAACUAAUAAUGUACAAGUUAUUUCAUUUACUUGAUAUCAAACAAAAUAAUUAACUAUAUAUAUAUAUAUAUAUAUAUAUACCCAAUGACAAAUUUGGAAUUUUUAUUUAUUGAUUCAUGUUUUGUUAGGUACCAUAAAUAAUUGUUUAAAGUAUCAACUUGAUAGGAGAAUGCGUGAGGGAGAAAUAGCGUUAAUAAUGGUUUAAAGGACUAAACCCAACAAAUUUAGCCAUAUAUGUGAAUACUGAAGUAUUAGUUUCCCUUGUUGCUAUUUAAAAAAAAAUAAUAAAUUACCAGUAAUUAAAUGUCUAAUUGAUUACUUUUUUGUUUAUUGAUUCACGUUUGUCUAUGUCAAUAAAUGAUUGUGCGAAGUUGCAGCUUGAUUCGAGAAUGGGUGUGGGAGAAAUAACGUGUACACACUUUUACCAGACAGACAGAGCGAGUUGAUAUAAGCCUUGU